AAUUGGAAAUCGAAAAAGCGAAAAUCGGGAAAUCGGUAAAUCGAGAAAUCGAGAAAGCAAAAAUACUUUCUUGGUUUCUCGAUUUCUCGAUUUCCCGAUUUCUCGAUUUUCCUAUUUCCCGAUUUCCCGAUU
Molecule: small RNA, 132 nt
Filed under: Mytilus galloprovincialis (Mediterranean mussel)
Lineage: Eukaryota; Metazoa; Mollusca; Bivalvia; Mytilida; Mytilidae
Source: RNAcentral